Molecule: small RNA, 460 nt
Filed under: Pan troglodytes (chimpanzee)
Lineage: Eukaryota; Metazoa; Chordata; Mammalia; Primates; Hominidae
Description: processed transcript
Source: RNAcentral
AGCAACGGGAGAUGGCGGAACCGGGCGGCGCGGCGGGCCGGUAAGCCGGGCCGAGGGGCAGCGGGUCUUGGAGUCGCCAGGCCGCGCUCUCCGUUCACCGCUCCAGGUGUCACCACCAGAGAAGGAUGAUGGCCAGAAAGGUGAAGAAGCUGUCGGUAGCACAGAGCAUCCUGAAGAAGUCACAACCCAAGCGGAAGCUGCAAUUGAAGAGGGGGAGGUCCAGACAGAAGGGGAAGCAGCAGUGGAAGGGGAAGAGGAGGCUGUGUCCUAUGGAGAUGCUGAAAGCGAAGAGGAAUAUUACUAUACAGAAACUUCAUUCCCGGAAGGGCAAAUCAGUGCUACAGAUACAACUUACCCGUAUUUCAGUCCUCCUCAGGAACUGCCUGGAGAGGAGGCGUACGAUAGUGUUAGCGGGGAGGCUGGUCUCCAAGGCUCCCAGCAAGAGGCCACCGGUCCACCA